This 1251-nucleotide long non-coding RNA is filed under the name Apteryx haastii (Great spotted kiwi). Its description in RNAcentral is "lncRNA (ENSAHAG00000000788.1)". The record is from RNAcentral. Lineage: Eukaryota; Metazoa; Chordata; Aves; Apterygiformes; Apterygidae.
AUGUUGAGACAAAGUCACCCCCGAGCUGGGGGGACGCACGGAGCCCCGGGGACGCGGCCGGCCCCUGCCCGCUCCGGGGAGCCCGUCCUCGGCCCCUUCGGCUCCUCCGCUGGCAAAACGCCUCCGGUCGGAGGCUGGGGCUGGACCCACGCUGGUCACCUGCGGAGGCGGCAGCCAUCCCGCGCCGGGAGCGUUGCGGGGGGCCGGAGCCGGGAUCGCAGAGGGGCGCUUGGCCGGGAGGCUCGGUCGCGUCCUCCCCGCCGCGCUUCAUCGCGGCGUCCCGCGGGGCCAAUUAAUGCCUCUCGCCGUCCCGAAACGAUACCCGUCAGUUCAAAGCCACCUGGACGCCAUCUGCCGCUCCGCGCGCGCCUCCCGGCAGGUCGRUGCCUCCUGCCGGGCCCUGGCACCGGGGGCUCCGGCCGGCCGAUCGGAUCGGAUCGGCUCAGCUCGGCAGCCUUCCCGGGAUGCCCGGCUGCGGAGAACCCUGCAAACGCCCUGCUCAGCCCGGCCCACCACAGCACUGGGACGCGGCGCGGUGUCCCGUGGGCAGUCGCCCUCACGGGAGCAAAGCUUUUUUUCUUGUGUGCAAACAGCAUUUCCAAUAUUCCAGGUUUCCMUGUCACCUCGUGGCCUCAGACAUGCCGGGGCCGGGACCAGCGAAGGCGGCCGCUGCCUGGGGGCACWGGGAUGCGCAGACGCAGCCGGGUCCCUGCAAGGCGUAAACCAGCCCUUCCUCUUCCCCGAAUCCAACGGCGCGAUGCUCGUCAGGGCCUGCCGGCGGGGACGGCGCUGAGCAGAGGAGAGGGCUGCUGCGGGACGGCGGAGCCCCCGAGGGGCUUUCGGGAGGGAGAACCGGGGCGGCGGGUGCAGCGGCCCCGCGGGGCACAGCCGGGCUGCAAAAACAUGCCGCAAAAACGGGCUGCAAAAACAGGCCACUUCCUCGGCUCGGAUGCAAAUUCAGCCCUAAGCUUCGCGUGCCCAGAAGCAAAAUUCAGCCCUGCUUUGCUGCCCUCUUAUUUCCCAGCAUAUUCAUCUUUUUCCGGGGGCCUCACCACGGUCUCGGGUAUAAAUCUUGCGCCAAAUCCGGCGGCCUUGGCCGGGCUCCCCGCGGUCCCGGCGCCGCUGCCGGCCCGGGGGCUCCGGCACGGCGGUUUUCUCGCCUCCGCCCCGCCAGCGCCGGCUCAACCUUCCCCUCCCUCCCCGCGGCCCCCGCGAACGCGCUCCUCCGUCUGUGCCAUUUAUCACCGCUAA